GAUGAACGCUGGCGGCGUGCUUAACACAUGCAAGUCGAACGAGAAUCAACGGAUUGAGGAUUCGUCCAAAUGAAGUUGAGGAAAGUGGCGGACGGGUGAGUAACGCGUGAGGAACCUGCCUCAGAGUGGGGAAUAACAGUUAGAAAUGACUGCUAAUACCGCAUAAUGUAGCGAGAUCGCAUGAUUUUGCUACCAAAGAUUUAUCGCUCUGAGAUGGCCUCGCGUCUGAUUAGCUAGUUGGCGGGGUAACGGCCCACCAAGGCGACGAUCAGUAGCCGGACUGAGAGGUUGGCCGGCCACAUUGGGACUGAGACACGGCCCAGACUCCUACGGGGAGGAAGCAGUGGGGAAUAUUGGGCAAUGGGCGCAAGCCUGACCCAGCAACGCCGCGUGAAGGAAGAUGGCUUUCGGGUUGUAAACUUCUUAGAGAAGGGACGAAGUAAGUGACGGUACCUGACGAAUAAGCCACGGCUAACUACGUGCCAGCCGCCGCCGUAA
RNAcentral lists this ribosomal RNA (498 nucleotides) under uncultured bacterium. RNAcentral's name for it is "partial 16S ribosomal RNA". It matches the Rfam family "Bacterial small subunit ribosomal RNA", at positions 28 to 523 of the family's 1533-position model. The record is from RNAcentral.